AGUCUAGCCUGCUCACUGAUNAUAAUAUUAAUAGCCGCGGUAUCUUGACCGUGCAAAGGUAGCAUAAUCAUUAGUUCUUUAAUUGGGAACUCGUAUGAAUGGUUGGACAAAGAAGAGACUGUCUCUUUUGUUAAAAUUGAACUUAACUUCUAAGUGAAAAGGCUUAGAUNUUCUAGAGGGACGAUAAGACCCUAUAAAGCUUUAUAAAGUUAGAGAUUUUAUACAUAUUGACAUAACAAUAAUUUCUCGAAUUUUUAUUUGGUUGGGGCGACAAUAGUAUAAUGAAAGUAACUGCUUUUAUAUAACAACAAAAAUAUUUGAGUUAUAAUUAAUUGAUCCUUUUUAAAGAUUUUAAGAUCAAGUUACUUUAGGGAUAACAGCGUUAUUUUUCCUGAGAGUUCUUAUCAAAGGAAAAGUUUGCGACCUCGAUGUUGAAUUAAAAUGUCUAUAUAGUGCAGCAGCUAUAUAAGAAGGUCUGUUCGACCUUUAAUAUUUUACAUGAUUUGAGUUCAGACCGGCGGGAGCCNGGUCGGUUUCUAUCUUCUAGAANGANAAAGGUCNCUUUAGUACGNAAGGANUGAGUGNUCAAAAAUCUNUUGAUAAUUGAAAU
This 610-nucleotide ribosomal RNA is filed under the name Thalamita parvidens. Its description in RNAcentral is "partial 16S ribosomal RNA". It matches the Rfam family "Bacterial large subunit ribosomal RNA", at positions 1851 to 2727 of the family's 2925-position model. The record is from RNAcentral. Lineage: Eukaryota; Metazoa; Arthropoda; Malacostraca; Decapoda; Portunidae.